CAUACAUGCAAGUCGAACGAACUCUGGUAUUGAUUGGUGCUUGCAUCAUGAUUUACAUUUGAGUGAGUGGCGAACUGGUGAGUAACACGUGGGAAACCUGCCCAGAAGCGGGGGAUAACACCUGGAAACAGAUGCUAAUACCGCAUAACAACUUGGACCGCAUGGUCCGAGUUUGAAAGAUGGCUUCGGCUAUCACUUUUGGAUGGUCCCGCGGCGUAUUAGCUAGAUGGUGAGGUAACGGCUCACCAUGGCAAUGAUACGUAGCCGACCUGAGAGGGUAAUCGGCCACAUUGGGACUGAGACACGGCCCAAACUCCUACGGGAGGCAGCAGUAGGGAAUCUUCCACAAUGGACGAAAGUCUGAUGGAGCAACGCCGCGUGAGUGAAGAAGGGUUUCGGCUCGUAAAACUCUGUUGUUAAAGAAGAACAUAUCUGAGAGUAACUGUUCAGGUAUUGACGGUAUUUAACCAGAAAGCCACGGCUAACUACGUGCCAGCAGCCGCGGUAAUACGUAGGUGGCAAGCGUUGUCCGGAUUUAUUGGGCGUAAAGCGAGCGCAGGCGGUUUUUUAAGUCUGAUGUGAAAGCCUUCGGCUCAACCGAAGAAGUGCAUCGGAAACUGGGAAACUUGAGUGCAGAAGAGGACAGUGGAACUCCAUGUGUAGCGGUGAAAUGCGUAGAUAUAUGGAAGAACACCAGUGGCGAAGGCGGCUGUCUGGUCUGUAACUGACGCUGAGGCUCGAAAGUAUGGGUAGCAAACAGGAUUAGAUACCCUGGUAGUCCAUACCGUAAACGAUGAAUGCUAAGUGUUGGAGGGUUUCCGCCCUUCAGUGCUGCAGCUAACGCAUUAAGCAUUCCGCCUGGGGAGUACGGCCGCAAGGCUGAAACUCAAAGGAAUUGACGGGGGCCCGCACAAGCGGUGGAGCAUGUGGUUUAAUUCGAAGCUACGCGAAGAACCUUACCAGGUCUUGACAUACUAUGCAAAUCUAAGAGAUUAGACGUUCCCUUCGGGGACAUGGAUACAGGUGGUGCAUGGUUGUCGUCAGCUCGUGUCGUGAGAUGUUGGGUUAAGUCCCGCAACGAGCGCAACCCUUAUUAUCAGUUGCCAGCAUUAAGUUGGGCACUCUGGUGAGACUGCCGGUGACAAACCGGAGGAAGGUGGGGAUGACGUCAAAUCAUCAUGCCCCUUAUGACCUGGGCUACACACGUGCUACAAUGGAUGGUACAACGAGUUGCGAACUCGCGAGAGUAAGCUAAUCUCUUAAAGCCAUUCUCAGUUCGGAUUGUAGGCUGCAACUCGCCUACAUGAAGUCGGAAUCGCUAGUAAUCGCGGAUCAGCAUGCCGCGGUGAAUACGUUCCCGGGCCUUGUACACACCGCCCGUCACACCAUGAGAGUUUGUAACACCCAAAGUCGGUGGGGUAACCUUUUAGGAACCAGCCGCCUAG
This 1445-nucleotide ribosomal RNA is filed under the name Lactiplantibacillus plantarum. RNAcentral's name for it is "bacterial SSU rRNA". It matches the Rfam family "Bacterial small subunit ribosomal RNA". Lineage: Bacteria; Bacillati; Bacillota; Bacilli; Lactobacillales; Lactobacillaceae. The record is from RNAcentral.